RNAcentral lists this ribosomal RNA (459 nucleotides) under uncultured Acholeplasma sp. RNAcentral's name for it is "bacterial SSU rRNA". It matches the Rfam family "Bacterial small subunit ribosomal RNA", at positions 918 to 1381 of the family's 1533-position model. The record is from RNAcentral. Lineage: Bacteria; Bacillati; Mycoplasmatota; Mollicutes; Acholeplasmatales; Acholeplasmataceae.
ACCCCGCCACAAGCGGUGGAUCAUGUUGUUUAAUUCGUAUGAUACGCGAAGAACCUUACCAGGCUUGACAUCCCCCGCGAUGCUUUAGAGAUAAAGCGGAGGUAUUCGGGGAGACAGGUGGUGCAUGGUUGUCGUCAGCUCAUGUCGUGAGAUGUUGGGUUAAGUCCCGCAACGAGCGCAACCCUAUUGCUAGUUACCAUCAUUAAGUUGGGGACUCUAGCGAGACUGCCAGUGAUAAACUGGAGGAAGGUGGGGAUGACGUCAAAUCAUCAUGCCCCUUAUGACCUGGGCUACAAACGUGAUACAAUGGCUGGAACAAAGGGAUGCGAAGCAGUGAUGUGGAGCGAAACCCAUAAAAACAGUCUCAGUUCGGAUUGAAGUCUGCAACUCGACUUCAUGAAGUCGGAAUCGCUAGUAAUCGCGGAUCAGAACGCCGCGGUGAAUACGUUCUCGGGGUUC